CCUACGGGAGGCAGCAGUGGGGAAUAUUGGUCAAUGGGCGCAAGCCUGACCCAGCAACGCCGCGUGAAGGAAGAAGGCCCUCGGGUUUUAAACUUCUUUUGUCAGGGACGAAACAAAUGACGGUACCUGACGAAUAAGCCACGGCUAACUACGUGCCAGCAGCCGCGGUAAUACGUCGGUGGCAAGCGUUCUCCGGAUUUACUGGGUGUAAAGGGCGUGUAGGCGGGAGAGCAAGUCAGAUGUGAAAUUCCAGGGCUCAACCCUGGAACUGCAUGUGAAACUGGUUUUCUUGAGUGAUGGAGAGGAAGGCGGAAUUCGGGGUGUAGCGGUGAAAUGCGUAGAUAUAGGGAGGAACACCAGUGGCGAAGGCGGCCUGCUGGACAUUAACUGACGCUGAGGCGCGAAAGCGUGGGGAGCGAACAGGAUUAGAUACCCGGGUAGUC
RNAcentral lists this ribosomal RNA (443 nucleotides) under uncultured bacterium. RNAcentral describes it as "partial 16S ribosomal RNA". It matches the Rfam family "Bacterial small subunit ribosomal RNA", at positions 338 to 795 of the family's 1533-position model. The record is from RNAcentral.